RNAcentral lists this ribosomal RNA (327 nucleotides) under Triticum aestivum (bread wheat). Its description in RNAcentral is "partial small subunit ribosomal RNA". Lineage: Eukaryota; Viridiplantae; Streptophyta; Magnoliopsida; Poales; Poaceae. The record is from RNAcentral.
AUGGCAAUUACAGACAAAAAACAUGAAGGAUUGUCAAUCGGUAUAAUGGUUGGUCAUAAAACAUUUAUAUUUUUUAGCAGUAGAGUUAAUCCUUGUGGUGUCAUACUACACACACAUGUCCUUUUGAAAAUGAUGGUGCUUGUUUUUUCUUUUCUUGAAAAGGGUCGCAACCCCGUCCUCUGGAUCGAAAAUGUUAAGUCUAACUUUCGUGAGAAAUUUGACCCCGUCCUCUUGUGGUACCAUCUUAAUGGCAACUGCUUAAGGAGAAACAAAUUCUUGCUUCAGUUUCUUGUUGCCCCCGUCUUGAUCAAUAAUAAAAAGAUAUAG